RNAcentral lists this ribosomal RNA (433 nucleotides) under uncultured bacterium. Its description in RNAcentral is "bacterial SSU rRNA". It matches the Rfam family "Bacterial small subunit ribosomal RNA", at positions 29 to 507 of the family's 1533-position model. The record is from RNAcentral.
AACGAACGCUGGCGGCAGGCCUAACACAUGCAAGUCGAGCGAGACCUUCGGGUCUAGCGGCGGACGGGUUAGUAACGCGUGGGAACGUGCCCUUCUCUGCGGAAUAGCCACUGGAAACGGUGAGUAAUACCGCAUACGCCCUUCGGGGGAAAGAUUUAUCGGAGAAGGAUCGGCCCGCGUUAGAUUAGAUAGUUGGUGGGGUAACGGCCUACCAAGUCUACGAUCUAUAGCUGGUUUUAGAGGAUGAUCAGCAACACUGGGACUGAGACACGGCCCAGACUCCUACGGGAGGCAGCAGUGGGGAAUCUUAGACAAUGGGCGCAAGCCUGAUCUAGCCAUGCCGCGUGUGUGAUGAAGGUCUUAGGGUCGUAAAGCUCUUUCGCCAGAGAUGAUAAUGACAGUAUCUGGUAAAGAAGUCCCGGCUAACUCCGUG